Long non-coding RNA from Daphnia magna, 1492 nucleotides. RefSeq lists it as uncharacterized. The transcript is spliced from 9 exons. NCBI's taxonomy places the organism in Eukaryota, Metazoa, Arthropoda, Branchiopoda, Diplostraca, Daphniidae. The record is from RefSeq and is a predicted model, not a curated record.
GUGUCGGGGUACCCUCCGGGGCUACUGUUGGGGGGUCCAAUGUCCGCAUGGCAAUUGGGGCCGCUUCGCAUAUGGCUUCUUCGCGCGCUGAUGCCAUAAAGACUCAUCAUAACGAUUCCUAAAUGGUUCGUCAGUGUCGCAUUUACGGUCGUGUAGUAGAACCUCUUAAAGGUAAUUGCGUUGUAGCAUUCCAGUAAGAUCUUUACUCUUUUCGCAAUUUUUCCCAACAGAUUUCCAUAAAGAUGAAGUAAGGUCUUAGGUCGUGAGCUGGGUCUGUCCACAGAAUUACUGGAAAGUCACCCGUUUCCUGGUCCUGGUUAUAUAUUUAUAUUUAGUUAUAUUAUUAUUCUUAAAACCCAGAGGUCUUCUUAACUUUUCAGGGGAUUGAUUGAUGAUACUUGUUGAUUAAUCGAUGAAGAAUACCAAUACAUGGAUAAGUGGAGGGGCAGCUCGGGAGCAAACGAACCAUAGAAAGGACCUUGCGUGGUCUAGCUGCAUCCAGCCAGAUACUAGUAGAGCCAAAAACAUUGUUUUGACCAGUACUAUCAUAUUUUGGUUGCAGGUUUUCACUAAAUACCAAGGUGUGGUAGCUAUUAUUCCGUGUUUUUCUUGCUUUUAACACUACGGGCUGAUCCUACGAGCUACGACAGUUUUACCUACAGAUGUUUAGCCGUUUCGUGCUGCAACUAGUAGUCUAUUUUCUAGGAUGUAAUGCCUAAAAUUGGAAUUCAGCUAUCAGAGAUUAGCAAAAUUCAAGCAGAAACUCUAGAUGGCGUUUUUGUGCGUUUAUGAUGAAGAUUAUGAGUGUCAAGUUAAAUGGGUGUUUGUUACGUUACGCUGUUAUGUGUUUCAAAGGAUUGUUCGGCAAAAAAUUUACGAUUGCUUUUUGUUUGUGUUGGUGUUUCGCCUUGUUAGCUAUGCCAGCUGCUGAACCAGCAGCCUGCAUUCCUGCUAUCAAUGUACCACAAGAGAUCCUGACACUUUGAGAAGGCCACUAUUUCUUACAUGAAGAUCACCAUUCAGUUCAAGUACUGUUAAUGGACCUCAAGCCUUUUGUUUAAGCUUAGUGAUGUGUUCUCUCGUCAGUCAAUGACAGAGUCUUCACCUACUUUGUGUUGCUAACCAUCCACCCUCAGCAUCCCAGGUAUCCAGAUUUCCAAGUUUCUCUGAUUAGCCAACCAUCAUCCAAACCCUUCAGCUCUUCAAUUCUGUGGCUUCUCUUCCUCUCUUCUUAAUCUGCUGAAUGCCAACAUUGAAUAAGAUUCAUCAUCAUUGCCUUUCCAUGCCAGCUCACAUGGAUAGGCUUUAACAACAUCUCCAUUUUUUGGACUUCAAAUAUUCAUCUUUCUUCGGUACGACACUGCCGUUUUGACAAUUUCGGUAGUUUCGCCCUCAGUGGACCACACGCAACUACAUUUUCUUCGUCUUCCUGUCGUUGUUGUCUACGACUUCACCUCAUCGCUGUCUUCGUUGAUGUCUUCGCCUUCAUCUU